GAUAGGGUUCAUGUGAAUCAUUACUCCUUACCCAGGCAGUAAUGUUCCCGAAGUUUUCUCUUCGUUCUAUGUUUCAUGGUAGUUUAACCUUAUUAACUCUUCUGCAGGCUUUUUGUACACUUAAAAAGAAAACUCUUUAACUCUUGGUAUUUACUUUUUUCUGGAGCUGGAGGAGGGAAUGAUAUUCAGUGGUGUUUUUCUCAGGUGAAAGGAGCAGUAGAUGAUGAUGUAGCAGAAGCAGAUAUAAUUUCUACAGUAGAAUUUAAUCAUUCUGGAGAAUUACUAGCAACAGGAGAUAAAGGUGGUAGAGUCGUCAUCUUUCAACAAGAGCAGGAGAACAAAAUCCAGUCUCAUAGCAGAGGAGAAUAUAAUGUUUACAGCACCUUCCAGAGCCAUGAACCAGAGUUUGACUACUUGAAAAGUUUAGAAAUAGAAGAAAAGAUCAACAAAAUUAGGUGGUUACCCCAGAAAAAUGCUGCUCAGUUUUUAUUGUCUACCAAUGAUAAAACAAUAAAAUUAUGGAAAAUCAGUGAAAGGGACAAAAGACCAGAAGGGUAUAACUUGAAAGAGG
RNAcentral lists this small RNA (571 nucleotides) under Pongo abelii (Sumatran orangutan). RNAcentral's name for it is "processed transcript". The record is from RNAcentral. Lineage: Eukaryota; Metazoa; Chordata; Mammalia; Primates; Hominidae.